AUUGAACGCUGGCGGCAUGCCUUACACAUGCAAGUCGAACGGUAACGCGCCUUCGGGUGUCGUCGAGUGGUGCACGGGGGCGUAAUAUAUAGGAACGUGUCCCCUCGCGGGGGGUAUCGAGGCUCAAGCGUAGCUCAUAUCGCAUACGAGCUACGAUUGUGAACCGGGGAGCUCAAGGGCUUGCGCGGGUGUUGCGGUCGAUGUCAGAUUAGGUAGUUGGUGGGGUAAAAGCUUACCAAGCCGACGAUUUGUAGCGGGUCUGAGAGGAUGAUCAGCCACACUGGGACUGAGACACGGCCCAGACUCCUACGGGAGGCAGCAGUGGGGAAUUUUGGACAAUGGGCGCAAGCCUGAUCCAGCCAUGCCGCGUGAGGGAUGAAGGCCUUCGGGUUGUAAACUGCUUUUGUACGGAAAGAAAAGCCUUGUUUUAAUACAGGAGGGUCAUGACGGUACCGGAAGAAUAAGCACCGGCUAACUACGUG
RNAcentral lists this ribosomal RNA (482 nucleotides) under uncultured bacterium. RNAcentral's name for it is "partial 16S ribosomal RNA". It matches the Rfam family "Bacterial small subunit ribosomal RNA", at positions 30 to 507 of the family's 1533-position model. The record is from RNAcentral.